UACGUAGGGUCCGAGCGUUGUCCGGAGUUACUGGGCGUAAAGCGCGCGCAGGCGGCUUCAUAAGUCUGGCGUGAAAGCCCCCGGCUCAACCGGGGAGGGUCGUCGGAGACUGUGGAGCUUGAGGGCGGUAGGGGCUGGUGGAAUUCCCGGUGUAGUGGUGAAAUGCGUAGAGAUCGGGAGGAACACCUGUGGCGAAGGCGGCCAGGUGGGCCGACCCUGACGCUGAGGCGCGAAGGCGUGGGGAGCGAACGGG
RNAcentral lists this ribosomal RNA (253 nucleotides) under uncultured bacterium. RNAcentral describes it as "partial 16S ribosomal RNA". It matches the Rfam family "Bacterial small subunit ribosomal RNA", at positions 524 to 776 of the family's 1533-position model. The record is from RNAcentral.